Molecule: ribosomal RNA, 423 nt
Filed under: uncultured bacterium
Lineage: Bacteria
Description: bacterial SSU rRNA
Rfam family: Bacterial small subunit ribosomal RNA
Source: RNAcentral
AAGACCUUGCACUUUUGGAGCGGCCGAUGUCUGAUUAGCUAGUUGGUGGGGUAAUGGCCUACCAAAGCUUCGAUCAGUAGCUGGUCUGAGAGGACGGCCAGCCACACUGGGACUGAGACACGGCCCAGACUCCUACGGGAGGCAGCAGUGGGGAAUUUUGGACAAUGGGCGCAAGCCUGAUCCAGCCAUGCCGCGUGAGUGAAGAAGGCCUUCGGGUUGUGAAGCUCUUUCAGCCGGGAAGAAAAGGUUGCGACUAAUAAUCGCAAUUCAUGACGGUACCGAAAGAAGAAGCACCGGCUAACUACGUGCCAGCAGCCGCGGUAAUACGUAGGGUGCGAGCGUUAAUCGGAAUUACUGGGCGUAAAGGGUGCGCAGGCGGUUUUGUAAGUCAGAUGUGAAAUCCCCGGGCUUAACCUGGGAACU